Piliocolobus tephrosceles (Ugandan red Colobus) is the source of this 505-nucleotide RNA transcript. It is a transcript of the gene named protein shisa-5 pseudogene, with no coding region annotated. Lineage: Eukaryota; Metazoa; Chordata; Mammalia; Primates; Cercopithecidae. The record is from RefSeq and is a predicted model, not a curated record. The transcript has a single exon.
CUCCAAAAGGGGAGGAAGUUGAAACUGAGUGGCCCACGAUGGGAAGAGGGGAAGCCCAGGGGUACAGGAGGCCUCUGGGUGAAGGCAGAGGCUAACAUGGGGUUCGGAGCGACCUUGGCCGUUGGCCUGACCAUCUUUGUGCUAUCUGUCAUCACUGUCAUCAUCUACUUCACCUGCUCCUGCUGCUGCCUGUAUAAGACGUGCCGCCGACCACGUCCGGUUGUCACCACCACCACAUCCACCACUGUAGUGUAUGCCCCUUAUCCUCAGCCUCCAAGUGUGCCGCCCAGCUACCCUGGACCAAGCUACCAGGGCUACCACACCAUGCCGCCUCAGCCAGGGAUGCCAGCAGCACCCUACCCAACGCAGUAACCACCUUACCUGGCCCAGCCCAUGGGCCCGCCGAGACCCCGAGACCCCGGCUGGAGGAGCAGCCGCACCCUACCCCGCCAGCCAGGCUCCUUACAACCCGGCCUACAUGGAUGCCCCGAAGGUGGUCCUCUGA